ACGGUAACGCGGAGAGCUUGCUCUCUGGCGACGAGUGGCGGACGGGUGAGUAAUACUUAGGAAUCUGCCCAGUAGUGGGGGACAACAUUCGGAAACGGAUGCUAAUACCGCAUACGCACUACGGUGGAAAGUGGGGGACCUUCGGGCCUCACGCUAUUGGAUGAGCCUAAGUCGGAUUAGCUUGUUGGUGAGGUAAUAGCUCACCAAGGCGACGAUCCGUAGCUGGUCUGAGAGGACGAUCAGCCACACUGGGACUGAGACACGGCCCAGACUCCUACGGGAGGCAGCAGUGGGGAAUAUUGGACAAUGGGCGCAAGCCUGAUCCAGCAAUGCCGCGUGUGUGAAGAAGGCCUGCGGGUUGUAAAGCACUUUCAGUAGAGAAGAAAAGCCUAGGGUUAAUAACCCUGAGUCUUGACGUAACCUACAGAAGAAGCACCGGCUAACUCCGUGCCAGCAGCCGCGGUAAUACGUAGGGUGCAAGCGUUAAUCGGAAUUACUGGGCGUAAAGCGUGCGCAGGCGGUUUUGUAAGUCAGAUGUGAAAUCCCCGGGCUUAACCUGGGAACUGCGUUUGAAACUACAAGGCUAGAGUGUGGCAGAGGGGGGGGUGGAAUUCCGCGUG
Molecule: ribosomal RNA, 620 nt
Filed under: uncultured bacterium
Lineage: Bacteria
Description: bacterial SSU rRNA
Rfam family: Bacterial small subunit ribosomal RNA
Source: RNAcentral